Molecule: ribosomal RNA, 596 nt
Filed under: uncultured bacterium
Lineage: Bacteria
Description: bacterial SSU rRNA
Rfam family: Bacterial small subunit ribosomal RNA
Source: RNAcentral
CCUACGGGAGGCAGCAGUGGGGAAUAUUGGACAAUGGGCGAAAGCCUGAUCCAGCAAUGCCGCGUGAGUGAUGAAGGCCUUAGGGUUGUAAAGCUCUUUUACCAGGGAUGAUAAUGACAGUACCUGGAGAAUAAGCUCCGGCUAACUCCGUGCCAGCAGCCGCGGUAAUACGGAGGGGGCUAGCGUUGUUCGGAAUUACUGGGCGUAAAGCGUACGUAGGCGGUUAUUCAAGUCAGAGGUGAAAGCCUGGAGCUCAACUCCAGAACUGCCUUUGAAACUAGAUAGCUAGAAUCUUGGAGAGGUGAGUGGAAUUCCGAGUGUAGAGGUGAAAUUCGUAGAUAUUCGGAAGAACACCAGUGGCGAAGGUGACUCACUGGACAAGUAUUGACGCUGAGGUACGAAAGCGUGGGGAGCAAACAGGAUUAGAUACCCUGGUAGUCCACGCCGUAAACGAUGAUAACUAGCUGUUCGGGCUCUACGAGCUUGAGUGGCGCAGCUAACGCAUUAAGUUAUCCGCCUGGGGAGGUACGGUCGCGAGAUAAACUACAANAGAGUAGUACGCGNGAGACGUGCGACGACGACGACGAGGGAGGAGG